AGCGAACGCUGGCGGCAGGCCUAACACAUGCAAGUCGAACGGACCCUUCGGGGUUAGUGGCGGACGGGUGAGUAACACGUGGGAACGUGCCUUUAGGUUCGGAAUAGCUCCUGGAAACGGGCGGUAAUGCCGAAUGUGCCCUUCGGGGGAAAGAUUUAUCGCCUUUAGAGCGGCCCGCGUCUGAUUAGCUAGUUGGUGAGGUAACGGCUCACCAAGGGGACGAUCAGUAGCUGGUCUGAGAGGAUGACCAGCCGCACUGGACUGAGACACGGCCCAGACUCCUACGGGAGGCAGCAGUGGGGAAUCUUGCGCAAUGGGCGAAAGCCUGACGCAGCCAUGCCGCGUGAAUGAUGAAGGUCUUAGGAUUGUAAAAUUCUUUCACCGGGGACGAUAAUGACGGUACCCGGAGAAGAAGCCCCGGCUAACUUCGUGCCAGCCGCCGCAGUAA
Molecule: ribosomal RNA, 448 nt
Filed under: uncultured bacterium
Lineage: Bacteria
Description: partial 16S ribosomal RNA
Rfam family: Bacterial small subunit ribosomal RNA
Source: RNAcentral